AACGCCUAAACAGAGCCUGCGGUGAAAGUUCCAACAGACACUGAGCUGGUAUUUUAAGACGAGUGGGAAAUCAAAGACUGGAAUGCUGGGGAAACUGACAAAGGGGUGAGCUCUGGAAAGGAGGACAGAUACUUCCUGUUCCUGCUGGAGUGACCCGCAGGUCUGAGGAGGAGUGAGGGAGAGGAAGGCAGAGAAAGCGAUUUUGGUGA
RNAcentral lists this long non-coding RNA (209 nucleotides) under Sinocyclocheilus anshuiensis. RNAcentral describes it as "lncRNA (ENSSANG00000027252.1)". Lineage: Eukaryota; Metazoa; Chordata; Actinopteri; Cypriniformes; Cyprinidae. The record is from RNAcentral.